Molecule: ribosomal RNA, 592 nt
Filed under: uncultured Glomus
Lineage: Eukaryota; Fungi; Glomeromycota; Glomeromycetes; Glomerales; Glomeraceae
Description: eukaryotic LSU rRNA
Rfam family: Eukaryotic large subunit ribosomal RNA
Source: RNAcentral
GUUUUAACCCGGCCGAGCCGAGAGGGAUAAGCUCAAUUUUAAAUCUGUUGGGUUCCACCUAACAGAGUUGUAUUUUGAAGAAACGUUUUCUGCGUCCCGGGUUAGCCUAAGUCCUUUGGGAUAAGGUAUCAUGGAGGGUGAGAAUCCCGUUCAUGGUUAAUCUUGAGGAUGCUCUACGAUACGUUUUCCAAGAGUCGAGUUGUUUGGGAUUGCAGCUCAAAAUGGGAGGUAAAUUUCUCCUAAGGCUAAAUAUUGGCGAGAGACCGAUAGCGAACAAGUACCGUGAGGGAAAGAUGAAAAGAACUUUGAAAAGAGAGUUAAACAGUACGUGAAAUUGUUGAAAGGGAAACGAUUGAAGUCAGUCAUACCAACGGGAAAUCAACCUUUUGAGCUUUGUCUCCUGGGUUCGAAGAGUUUUAACGCCUUCCGGUUCGAGAGAUUGGGAUCUUCUGGUGUACUUUCUCGUACGGGUAGUCAACAUCGGUUUUGAAUGUCAUUAAAUGACUGGAGGAAUGGAGCUUCGAUCUCGUAUCGAAGAGAUGGAGCCUUCGGUCGAUGUGACGUUUUUACACCGAAGAUUUUGGACAGAUAC